This 82-nucleotide transfer RNA is filed under the name Blastocystis hominis. It matches the Rfam family "tRNA". From Rfam's summary of the family: Transfer RNA (tRNA) molecules are approximately 80 nucleotides in length. Their secondary structure includes four short double-helical elements and three loops (D, anti-codon, and T loops). Lineage: Eukaryota; Bigyra; Opalinata; Blastocystidae. The record is from Rfam by way of RNAcentral.
GUCAGUUUGGCCGAGCGGUUAAGGCGUCAGACUUGAAAUCUGAUGGGUUAUACCCGCGCAGGUUCAAGUCCUGCAGCUGACG